AGAAACUUGCUGACAUUGUUGUAUAGAGAUUAAGAGUGAUAGUUGAAUUUUUUGGGGAUAUUAUUCAAUUCAAAUGAUUUUUUUUUAAUUACAGGAGACAGAAGAAGUCUAUUAUAAAUAGUUUUCUUGGUUUUAUAACAUUAUUUUUGUGUUCAUUUAGUGCAAUUUAUAACAAAUUGUUUAAAGUUAGCCUUGCUAACUUCAGUAGCUAGCUAGCUACCAGCGCGAAUGUGCAGUUUUCUCCGCCAGAAUGGUCAAUUCUGCCGAAAAUGUUGUGGACUUUUUGUUGAAGAACCCCUUUCAUUCUCUGGGGUACACAGAAAAAGUGCGAAUUAAAAGCGAGGGUCGACCUCUGCCUGAGAUCAGUUUCAUGACGAAGGAUGAAAGGGUGAGGGCGUUCAAUAUCAACUGGUAUCAAAAGUAUAGCUGGUUAACAGGGAGCCUAUCAUAAAGCCGCCUGUAUUGCUGGCCUUGCCUGCUUUUUGGAAAGUCUGAGCCUUAGUCGAAAGGUGGGUACAGUGAACUGAAGAACAUCAAUUGUUCAGCUAAACGGCAAACCAAACGCAGGGAGCAUAUACAUACCGACUUUUCGAUCAAAUAAGAUUGAUAGCUUCCAUCGCAUCAUCCAUUAAAAUGUACAUUAACGAGAGAGGUUGAAAGCUCAAAUUGGCUUUCCACUUUCCUCCGGUAUUUAUUUAGCAAAGAUAACACAUAAUCACUCCGGACAGACCAAAGCAAAAACUACACCGAAACAUUAGAAAUCUGACAUUGCUGUAUGUGAUGAAAAUGAGACUACUUUUUCUGAUCAACUGUAGGCUACUAAUACGGGUAGCUGGAUAACGUUACAUCCUAUGCGCCCUGAGUAACGUUAUGUAUUUAUGUGUCAGGAUAAAAUGUGAAUGUGAUCAGAUUUUAGUUUACAUUCAAAAUUGGGCUGGCAAGCCUGUGUCACAUGAGUUGACGCUGGAGAGACGAAGCAGGUACGGCGAGUUAAACAUUUAAUAAAGAACGAGACAGGAACAGCGUCAGCAAACUAGUAACACAAACCAAAAACAAUUUAUGCAUCAGCAGGGAAACUGACAAAUAUAGGGGAGGUAAUAAACAGAUAAGUGAGUCCAGGUGAGUCCAAUAAUGCUGAAGCGUGUGACGAGGGGAGGAGAGCGGGAGCAGACGUGACAGGCUGCCUAUACGUUUUUAAUCCAAAAUUAUUAUUAAUCAGUCGACAAUGGUGAUGACAGAUGUGAGUAAAUGUUUUAUAAGGCCUACAGUUGCAUAGGCCUGCAUGAUGCCAACAUGCAUAAAGCAAGCUCAGCCCUGUGAGUUCUGUGUCUGGGUAGAGGAAAUCCCCUUCAAUACAAUAAUUUAUAUGAACAAAUAUAAGGUAGCUUCAGUUUGACAGUGGAUUCAUCCCCCCCAGGGCCAGGAGUUUUUUUUCAAACCAUGUGACCUGAUUAGGAAAAACGGGUCCCAUCAUAGCCCAUAUGAAAGCUUUUUACAACUGAUUAAUCACUGUCAUACCUUAUAGGGUCCAGAGUUUUCCUAGUUAGGUUAACAUAUAAGGAAAAACUCCAGGCCCUAGGGGGUAAAAAUUGCCCCACUUCUCUGGGACCUAUGGUGCUGCCAUUCUGCUUGGUAUUGUCACUUAUCACUAUGGUAUGUGGAUGAUCAGGGCUUUAUUCAGGAAUGUUUUUUAUGUGUUUUUUUAACUAGGCAAGUCAGAUAAGAACAAAAUUUUAUUUUCAAUGACAGCCUAGAAACAGUGGGUUAACUGCCUUGUUCAGGGGCAGAACGACAUAUUUUUACCUUGUCGAUUCGAUCUCGCAACCUUUCGGGUGCUAGUCCAGCGCUCUAACCACUAGGCUACCUGCCACCCCCAUUUCUUGGGAUACUUUGAUGUGUCAAGUGGGUGAGAUGCGCAGUAUGUGUUUGACUUCAUAGAGAAACUCGUUGUCCAAACCUAUGAUGGCACGGCUGUAAUAGAAUGUAUCUGCUAUUUGUAUUUACAGCUAAGUCCCCUCCUGUUCCCUGAUUUAAGAGGUGAUGACCACUCCACUACCAUUGUCAACUCUCUCAUGAGUUGAACCGAAGCCAUAUCUCAUGUGCCCGCUCAUCGCACAUUAAAUGUUUCCUCUCCAAGCACUGCGAGUACUCAUAUCAUUUUCCUCUCAUUACUGUAUGUAGAGUCAAUCACAUACACAAAAACAAUCACAUUACUACACAUCAACGAUUUUACUCCUUGCUUGGACUAACUAAUUCUUAGCUCUUUUGUCUAACUUUGUAGUGUAUUAUUGUUUUUUGUCUUCCCCAGUCAAAUCCUGUCCUGCAAUGGUCAAGCCUCUGAACACCUCAACACAUGCCUCACACCCUGAUUCAAUCACUGCUGUGAUCUCUUUCCAACACUGUCGCCUAUACCAUGGGUCUCCCAUCCUGCUCAAUUCUUCAAGUCACCAGCCUCCACUGCCCUCCACCUACCCAAGGACGUUUGAAUACAGACAUACCUUAACCACCUAAAUGAGGAUCUAAAUGUAACCUUGCGUAAUACCCUAGAUGCAGUUGCACCCCUAAAAACAAAAAACAUUUGUUUUAGCUCCCUGUUUUAGUUCCCUGGUAUACAGAAAAUACCAGAGCCCCGAAGCAAGCUUCCAGAAAAUUGGAAUGAAAAUGGCGCUCCACCAAACUGGAAGUCUUCCGACUAGCUUGGAAAGACAGGACAGUGCAAUAUCGAAGAACCCUCACUGCUGCUCAAUUAUCCUAUUUUCUUCCCAAAACUAAUUGAGGAGAAUAAGAACAAUCCCCUCCCAAAAAUGUGAUAUUGUCGCAAAGCUAACUUAAAAGCAGCAUUCCCCAAGAGAGGAUGACUUUCACUUCAGCAGUGAGGAAUUCAUCAACUUCUUUGAUGUAAAGGUCAUGAUCAUUAGAAAGAAAAUUACAGACUGCUCUUUCAAUCUGCACAUUUCUCCAAAGCUCAGUUGUCCUGAGUCUGUACAGAACUGCCAGGAAGUUGGAUCAAUGGAGACACAAGUUUUUUCAUCCUGUAUCUCUUGACACAUUCAUGAAAAUAAUCAUGGCCUCUAAACCUUCACGCUGCAUACUGGACCCUAUUCAUACUAAACUACUGAAAGAGCUACUUCCUGUGCUUGUCCCUCCUAUGUUGAACUUGGUAAAUGUGGAAGUAAUAAAGCCUCACUUGAAAAAG
This is a long non-coding RNA of Oncorhynchus kisutch (coho salmon), 3196 nucleotides long. RefSeq lists it as uncharacterized. NCBI's taxonomy places the organism in Eukaryota, Metazoa, Chordata, Actinopteri, Salmoniformes, Salmonidae. The record is from RefSeq and is a predicted model, not a curated record. The transcript is spliced from 2 exons.